UACGUAGGGUCCAAGCGUUAUCCGGAAUCACUGGGCGUAAAGCGUGCGUAGGUGGAUUGUUAAGUGCGAUGCGAAAUCCUGUGGCUCAACCAUAUGGACUGUAUCGCAUACCGGCUAUCUAGAGGACAUGAGAGGCAAGUGGAAUUACUGGUGUAGCAGUGAAAUGCGUAGAUAUCAGUAGGAACACCAAUGGCGAAGGCAGCUUGCUGGCAUGUAUCUGACGCUAAGGCACGAAAGCGUGGGGAGCGAACAGG
This 254-nucleotide ribosomal RNA is filed under the name uncultured bacterium. Its description in RNAcentral is "partial 16S ribosomal RNA". It matches the Rfam family "Bacterial small subunit ribosomal RNA", at positions 524 to 776 of the family's 1533-position model. The record is from RNAcentral.